CGAUUACAGUUUGAUUCUGGCUCAGGAGAAACGCUGGCGGCGUGCCUAAUGCAUGCAAGUCGGACGGUCGCUUCCGCGGCCGGGGGGAACGGGUGAGUAACGCGUAUGUGACCUACCCUCUGUGGGGCAUAACCCGGGGAAACUCGGGCUAAUUCCGCAUACGGUCUCGGCGUAUUAGCUGAUAAGAAAGCCGAGAGGCGCUUGGGGAGGGGCCUGCGUCCGAUUAGCUGGUUGGUGGGGUAACGGCCUACCAAGGCGGUGAUCGGUAGCCGGUCUGACUUUCGGCCGGCCACACUGGAACUGGGACACGGUCCAGACUCCUACGGGAGGCAGCAUGAAGGGAUAUUGCGCUUUGGCCGGAAGGCUGACGCAACGACGCCGCGUGGGGGAUGAAGGCUCUCGGGUCGUAAACCCCUUUUGUGUGGUACGAAGACUGACGGUACCACACGAAGAAGCCCCGGCUAACUACGUGCCAUCAGCCGCGGUAAUACGUAGGGGGCGAGCGUUGUCCGGAUUUACUGGUUGUAAAGCGUCCGCAGGCGGCCAUCCAAGUCCGGUGUGAAAGCCCCCCGCUCAACGGGGGGAGGUCAUCGGACACUGGCUGGCUGGAGGAUAGCAGAGGGAGAUGGAAUUCCCGGAUCACCGGUGAUAUGCGUAGAGACGGAACUAACACCGGUGGCGAAUGCAAUCCCCUGGGCUACUCCUGACGUUCAUGGACGAAAGCGCGACCAGCGAACCUGAUUAUGUACUCUCGUAUACCUUUCCCGACUCGAUGGGUAGUCCGUGUUCCUGGUAUAUAUCCCCCCACGUCCCCCAGAUACCGGGAUAAGUACUCCGCUUUGGGAGUAUGUACGCAAGCAUAAUACUCAAAGGAAUUGAGGGGGACCCUCACAAGCAGCGGACAGUGUGGUUUAAUUCGAUGCAACGCGAAGAACCUUACCAGGGCUUGACAUGGGUCGCACGCCGGGGGAAACCCCGGCUCCUUCGAGGGUGGUCCACAGGUUUUGCAUGGCUGUCGUCACCUCGUACCGUGAGGUGUUGGGUUAAGUCCCGCAACGAGCACAACCCCCGUUGGCAGUUAGGUUUUUUAUCGGGCCCACCGGGAAAACCCGUAAGAAGGUGGGGAUGACGUCAAGUCAGCACGGCCCUUACUUCCUGGGGGAUACACACGGUACAAUGGCACGGACAACGGGGUUCGAACCCUCAAGGCGGAUCCAAUUCCAGCAAACCGUGCCCCAGUACAGAUUGUCGGCUGAAACCCGCCGGCAUGAAGGCGGAGUUGGUAGUAACCGCGGGUCAGCACUACCGCGGUGAAUGCGUUUCCGGGCCUUGUACACACCGCCCGUCACGUCAUGAAAGCCGGCAACACCUGAAGUCCGUGCGCCGACCCGCGAAGUGGGCAGCGGCCCAGUGUGGGCCUGGUGAUUGAGUGAAGUCGUAACAAGGUAGCCGU
Molecule: ribosomal RNA, 1453 nt
Filed under: uncultured bacterium
Lineage: Bacteria
Description: partial 16S ribosomal RNA
Rfam family: Bacterial small subunit ribosomal RNA
Source: RNAcentral